CGCACCGUGGAUGCGAACAUACAAACGUUCUUUGUCGCCAAUUUUAAACACGCAUCUCUAUUCUCUGAUCGAGUAAAACGAGACGUCGGGGAAUCCCGCAAAAAAUUGCGCGUUUUUUCGAAUUGGUGAUCAUCUCAAAAGGAUUGGUCGAACAUUGUAAAUCUGUUACUAGAAAGCAAAAUUAGAUCAGGGAGAAUGUUUCGUGACAUAGUUCGUGACAGUGUCUGACAAAGUCUGAAGUCGCUCGAUUCAUCUUAAAAGAUUCAAUCGGAAAAAUACUCGACAAUAGCGCCAAAAUAUCAGCAGCACAAUGUCGGAGGGUUGCACGAGUUGCAGAGGCGCGAAUUAUACGAGUGGUACUUUGCAGUUAGGCACGACUGCGGGUGGCAAUACUGGAAGUUCAUCGUCUGGGGUGACCUGUACAACCACAAGGAGAGUCCAGAUUCGCGCAAAAGUGUUAUAUGGCACAGGCAAAGCAAUAGCGAGCUUGCAAGCGCAGGAGAAAGCGGCCAGACACUGACGAGGACUAUUUCACACCCACCGAGUCAAAAGAAGGAGACCAAAUUCGAGGAUAAAAAUGGGCUCGAUACAAGAUACCGGAAAACUCAUGGAAAAUCAGGACGAUGCGAUUUUAGUGCCGUUGCAGGAAAAGUUUGAAGUAUCUACCACAUGAUAACGCCUACGGAAUACGCAUGUAUGCACGUUUUAUUUUUAAUACAGAAAUUUCAAUUUGUAUAAAUUGAUUGAAAAAUGAUUUAUUU
Trachymyrmex cornetzi is the source of this 761-nucleotide long non-coding RNA. RefSeq lists it as uncharacterized. The record is from RefSeq and is a predicted model, not a curated record. The transcript is spliced from 3 exons. Lineage: Eukaryota; Metazoa; Arthropoda; Insecta; Hymenoptera; Formicidae.